Molecule: microRNA precursor, 110 nt
Filed under: Marmota monax (woodchuck)
Lineage: Eukaryota; Metazoa; Chordata; Mammalia; Rodentia; Sciuridae
Source: RNAcentral
UGUAAAAUUGCAGGAUCAUAUGGUAAUUCUGUAACUCCGUUUUAACUUUUUGAAGAACCAUAAAACUGUUUUCCACAGCAGUUGCACCAUUUCACAUUUCCAUUGGCAAU